RNAcentral lists this transfer RNA (64 nucleotides) under Splendrillia sp. 1 MNHN IM 2013-9619. RNAcentral describes it as "tRNA-Phe". It matches the Rfam family "tRNA". From Rfam's summary of the family: Transfer RNA (tRNA) molecules are approximately 80 nucleotides in length. Their secondary structure includes four short double-helical elements and three loops (D, anti-codon, and T loops). Lineage: Eukaryota; Metazoa; Mollusca; Gastropoda; Neogastropoda; Drilliidae. The record is from RNAcentral.
GCAUUGAUAGCUCAAUAAGAGCAUAGCACUGAAGAUGCUAAGGUAGCAUUAUUGCUUUAAAGCA